AGCCCUAGGGGCAAGGGGGAGCCUCCUGAAGGGCCGGCCCCACUCUCCACUCCCCAGACAGCCCACACUGGACGAUAACAGGAGCAAGAGAGAAGCCUGCAUUGUGUGCACCUCUGAGGCAAGAAAACUGAGGCUCGCGGGUUAUCCAACCAGAAUGUGGCAGAGUCAGGAUUUGAACCUGGGUCUGGCUGAUGGAGAACAUCAGCUUCUCUCUGAGGGAGACUUCAGGUCCUGCUGCAGCCUCCAGACCUGCACCAUCUUCUCCCCAGGGAUCCUCUGUCUGGCUCCACGUCAUGCCCAGGCUGAGGCCCACAGUGGGACCUUGUCAUCACUCUGACUGUGCCCACCCAGACCCCUCAAACUGCCACCUCACCCCCCUCGCUUCCACCACCCCCUUCCACCCGACGACAGUGUCCCAGGGAGGAUUAAGUCCAGCUGCGUGUGUCAAAAGAGACUAGAAGAGGGUACCAGUGGCUUAGAGUAGGAGAAGAGUUUAUUUCUCUCUUACACACAAGAGUCCAGAGGCAGGCGGUCCAGCCCUGUGGAGGCCCCGUAUGAUGAUAUCCAGAUCCUGAGCUAAAUCUCUCUCACUGCUGGGGCAUCUUCAACAUCUUUCUCCUACCUCACGGACCAAGAGAGCUGUUCAAGCUCCAUCCAUCACAUUGCAUUUCUGAGGCUGGAAAACGAAGGAAGGAGCAAAGAAGGGCAUCCUUCUGCCUAUUAAAGACCCUUCCCCAAAGCUGCCCUUGACACUUCUAACUUACAUCCCAUGGGCUAUAACUGAGUCCCAUGACCAACCUAGCUGCAAGGGAGGCUGGGGAAUGUGCCUGGCUAUAAAUAGAGGGUACACAGACAGGGGAAGACAGGUUUGGAGAGACAUUAACUGUCUCUGUGGUGACUCUCCUCUGCCAUCGUGAAGCCCUCCAGUAUUUUCCGGGCCACCUGGCCCUCCUGGCCGCCCUCCCUCCCUUCCUCAGCCUGGAUGGCACAGGCGCUGGCUGACGCUCUCACUCUGCUUUGAGCAUUGUGACCUGCCUUCUUGACAGUCAGCAGGUAGCUGAGUCCUCGGCUGCAGAAAGUCCUAUCGCCACUGCGCCAGACUCCACUAGCGACCAGAUACGAAUCCUGGUCCCUAGCCUGGGGGACAACGUCCUGCAUGAUUUUGCAUCCAGCCCUCAGCCUGGGCCCCCUCCCCCAUCGAGUGGAGAGCACAAGGUAAGAGGGAACGUCAGAGAAGGACCAGGAGGACAAAGCAGUCGGGUGGCCGAUGGCCCUGUGGGCUCUCCUCAGAGCCAGCCCCUCUGCCGACAUCCACUCUUCCCUGGGACACCCCGCCCACCAGUCCCCAAGCCAGAACGUGGCCAUCCUCUGUGGCUCUUCUUCCUCAGCCUGCACUUCCAAGCCAUCACCCUCACCAUCUCUGCUUUGCCACAGAGUCACCUCCUCUCCAGCUCCCAGGCUCCAGACCCCAAUACCCAUGUUCCGUGUUCCUCCGUGAGCAGCUGGUUCAAUAUCUACUCCAACAGCAGCACCCCGAGCAACUCAUAUCUCAUGCAAACCAUGCCGUUCAUGUAGAAAGUCAUUCUCUGUUCCGGUUCCUUGCCAGGACUGCUCCAGGGCACCAGCUGGCCUGCUCUGCCUGGGCCUCAGGGGGUUUCCAGGACACAAGACUUCAGUGCUAAAUGGAGACAAAGUUGGUCACCUCAUUCCACCCCACCCUUCCCAGACUAACUCAGCCCCUUGCUUUAAAACCAGUCCUUCCCGGAUCUCCCACCCCAGCCAGGUGGGAUUCACGCACACGCUGGUCACUGUGUCUUGUGUGGUGCCCUCCUGUUCCUGUGUCUACACUAGAAGUUCCCUGAGAACAGGACCACGUGCGAGUUACCCAGACAGCUCCAGAGCCUCGAAAACCACCUGACCUACAGAAGGUGUCAAGAUACAGGAAAGGAAGGGAAAAAGGAAAAGAGAAAGAAUCAACGGUUCCAGAUCUCUAAUACCCUAAAGAUUCCAGGAAAUCACACUAAAAACAAGACCGGGAAUAACGUAUUUGAAGUUUUGAAAGGUUUGCCUCCGAAAGCCGUCUUAACGGGUGGGUCACUUGCUGAUGUGCACUCAGAGUGGUACCACCCCUCUGGGUCGCAAUUUCACAACAACGUCUGUCAACAUCUCUGAUAUACGACUCAGCAAUGCCUCCUUUCAGACUCACCCUGCAGAGAGAUGCGUGCCCACCUAGGAAGUGUGUGUGCGCCAAGGAAUUCACGCAGUAGCGA
Diceros bicornis minor is the source of this 2270-nucleotide long non-coding RNA. RefSeq lists it as uncharacterized. NCBI's taxonomy places the organism in Eukaryota, Metazoa, Chordata, Mammalia, Perissodactyla, Rhinocerotidae. The record is from RefSeq and is a predicted model, not a curated record. The transcript has 3 exons.